Molecule: ribosomal RNA, 433 nt
Filed under: uncultured bacterium
Lineage: Bacteria
Description: partial 16S ribosomal RNA
Rfam family: Bacterial small subunit ribosomal RNA
Source: RNAcentral
AACGAACGCUGGCGGCAGGCCUAACACAUGCAAGUCGAGCGAGGACUUCGGUCCUAGCGGCGGACGGGUGAGUAACGCGUGGGAACGUGCCCUUUGCUUCGGAAUAGCCCUGGGAAACUGGGAGUAAUACCGGAUGAGCCCUUUGGGGGAAAGAUUUAUCGGCGAAGGAUCUGCCCGCGUUGGAUUAGGUAGUUGGGUGGGUAAUGGCCUACCAAGCCGACGAUCCAUAGCUGGUUUGAGAGGAUGAUCAGCCACACUGGGACUGAGACACGGCCCAGACUCUUACGGGAGGGAGGAGUGGGGAAUGGUAGACAAUGGGGGAAACCCUGAUGUAGCCAUGCCGGGUGAGCGAUGAAGGCAUUAGGGUUGUAAAGCUCUUUCAGCUGGGAAGAUAAUGACGGUACCAGAAGAAGAAGCCCCGGCUAACUCCGUG